This is a small nuclear RNA of Cyprinodon tularosa, 158 nucleotides long. RefSeq annotates it as U1 spliceosomal RNA. NCBI's taxonomy places the organism in Eukaryota, Metazoa, Chordata, Actinopteri, Cyprinodontiformes, Cyprinodontidae. The record is from RefSeq and is a predicted model, not a curated record. The transcript has a single exon.
UGACCUCGUGGCAGGAGGGUUGCAUUAAUCAUGAAGUUGGUGCACCAACAUGGCCCAUGGCAUUACACUCAGGCUGCUCUGACCUUUAUAAAUUCUCCAUUGGGGAUCUGGAUUAUAUUAUUUUUGGUAGUGGGGGACUCUAUUUGGGGUUUCCCCAG